GUCCCCAAACCACACUUGAUUCAGCCCAGUUCCCACAGUUUUUCUGAGAGGAGGGAAAAAAAAAAAACCCAGCUCGACCCAUCGUUUGUGGCUCCCUUCAGAAUCAAUCCACACCAUCGCUUCCAAAAUCUCGUUGAUAAACACCUUGCGAUUUUUUUGAUCGCACCUAAAAAUUCCUUCUGUCUGUUGCCUGGAGCUACUGUAUCAUAUCUGAUCCAUCUUCGAGCCCAAAUCUCGUUCGCUUUUCCGAGCCUUUUGAUUUUGAUCCCGUUUUUAUCCCCCCAAAUCCACUAACCCCCUGCAAAGAUUUGAUCUUUACGACUCCAAAGCCCAGAUUUUUUUUUUCCUUGGGUUUGUGCCGUCGGCGGGGGCGCGAAAUCCCUCAAGCUGGCGACCCCGGCGCGGCCAUGGACCUGCCCGAGAGCUCUGUCCGCCGCCGUGUCGGCCCCGUCGACCGCGAGGAGCUGGUGCGCGUCAUCGAGGAGUCGCUCUACUCGCUCGGGUACCGGCGAGCGGCGGCCGAGCUCGAGGCGGAGUCCGGCGUGCCGCUGUACCCGCCGGAGCACGACCGCCUGCUGCUCGACGUGAUGGCCGGCCGGUGGGACGCGUGCGCGGAGACCGUCCGCUCGGUCGCUGGCGUCGGCGACGCGGACCGCGCGGUCGCGGAGUUCCUCUUGUGGAGGGGCCACUACCUGGAGCUGCUGGGGACCGGCGGCGACGCCGGACUGCGGCGUGCGAGGGAGGUGCUCCGGCGCCGGAUUGCCCCGCUCGCUGUCGAUAGGAGGUGCGUGCACUGGCUGGCGUGCGCCAUGGUCUCGUGCGAGGGGGCAGUCGCUCCGGAUGCCGUGGUUGGGUGGAGGAUUGCGGUGUUCUUGGAUUUAGUUGAGGUGCUGCCACCAUGGUUCCAUGUGCCCACCGGGCGGUUGGAGCAUUUGGUGGAGAGUGCGGUUACUAAGCAAGUAGCAUCGUGUAUAUAUCACAAUUUGCCGGAUGAGAUCACUAUGCUUGAAGAUCAUAAGUGCCAUGAACAGCACAUCCCCUCCGAGUGUGCACAGAUAUUAUGUGGUCAUAAUAAUGAAGUUUGGUUUGUAAGGUUCUCUAAUAAUGGAGACUACCUGGCAUCAUCUUCAAGUGAUUGCACCGCCAUAAUUUGGAAGGUGGAAAAGGAUGAUACGUUGACCAAGAAGCACUGCCUACAGGGUCACCACAAACCAAUUUCCUUCGUUGCCUGGAGCCCAAAUGAUAGAAUGCUGCUCACUUGUGGUACUGGUGAAUUUUUGAAACUGUGGAACGUUGAUACUGGUGAAUGUAAUCUUAAAUUCCGAGGUUCAGCAGACUACAUCAUCAGUUCAUGUGCAUGGUUUCCUAAUUCAGAGAAAAUAGUAUGUGCCAGCUCUGAGCCUGGAAGUUCGCCAAAUAGGAUCUUCACUUGUGACCUAGAAGGUCAAGAGCUGGAAGUAUGGGCUGGAGAUAGAAUACCUAAAGUUAGUGAUCUUGCUGUGACACCUGAUGGCCGGCACCUAAUCUUUGUAUCUUGCAACGAUAUCUGGAUUCGAGAACUUCCAAAGGGGAGGGAAUGGAGAUUUCGUGAGAAGCAGGCGAUUUCAUCUCUUUCUCUCUCAGGUGAUGGACAGUCACUCAUUGUCAACCUUAGCAGCCAGGAAAUUCAUUUGUGGAAAAUUAAUGAAAGUUCUACUGUUCCUGAAAAGUUCAAGGGGCACAAGCAAGAGAAGUUUGUGAUUAGGUCUUGCUUUGGGGGUUCAAAUUCCUUGUUCAUUGCUAGUGGCAGUGAGGAUUCACAGGUAUAGUUUUUUGCUAGACUUUGGUCCUGCUUUUGAUGAAAUGUUUAGCCAACUCCAGCUUCUGUUUUAAUUUCCUGCCUAACCUAAAUUCCAUGGUUGGUUAUGCAUAUGGAACAUAACCACCUACCCAAGUAUGAGGCAUGUCUAAACAAACUGAUGGCUUAAAGCAACACCAUGCUUCCAGGGCUAAUGCGCAUGAUGCUAGCAAUUGUAGGUCUACAUUUGGAAAAGGCACCUCGAAACGCCAAUAAAGGUUUUGCAUGGCCACACAAUGAUCGUGAACUGUGUAAGCUGGAAUCCUGCGAGGCCUCAUAUGCUGGCUUCUGCUAGUGAUGACCGCACAGUUCGAAUAUGGCUGGCACGCAAGCCUGGAAGCACAUGCAGUUGAAGUGUCAAAUUUUGUAUGUUAUUGUAAAUAGUUGUACAUUUAGACUGUUUGCACAAAUCUGUUUGGGAUUAAUUCCCCCCGUUAAAGAGUUUGUAGCUUACCUUCAGAGUUCAGAAAUAAACCUCGACAGCCAGAGGUAGCAGGGUGCUGUGUUCCUUAUGUAUGCCUGGUUACCCGGUGAGUUUUGAUACUUGUGUGCAUGACACAGAUGCAUCAGAACUUUGUAGUACAUUUUAUGAGCCGAUACUAGUUAAAAUUGCUGAGAUAUGCCUUCUGUUGGUGUGAA
This is an RNA transcript of Setaria italica (foxtail millet), 2476 nucleotides long. It is a transcript of the gene named WD repeat-containing protein 26, with no coding region annotated. The record is from RefSeq and is a predicted model, not a curated record. The transcript is spliced from 4 exons. Lineage: Eukaryota; Viridiplantae; Streptophyta; Magnoliopsida; Poales; Poaceae.